Molecule: non-coding RNA, 1939 nt
Organism: Chiloscyllium plagiosum (whitespotted bambooshark)
Lineage: Eukaryota; Metazoa; Chordata; Chondrichthyes; Orectolobiformes; Hemiscylliidae
Source: RefSeq, a predicted model, not a curated record
AUAAUAAUUCAGCUCUUGGCUUUGCAAGGUGAUUAUCACUUCACAGAUGCAGAGUAGAGAAUAUUACUUGUUACAUAAAAUUGUUGUUGUCUGUCCAGCUUCAUUGCAUUGGAGAAUCUGCACACAGACUCUGGGAGAUGGAGUAGGGGGGAAGGAUUUUUAUGAAAUCAUUUGUUGGCUGCACAACUUCUGAAUGUUAUUUGUCAUACUGUCUGACCAUUAUCGUUUGGAAGGUUAAGAAAGCAAAAAAUGUACUUUUAAAAAAAGUUAUUUUAGUUCUCGAUUUAAGAAGCUAACAAAAUUUGUUUUGUUUGUGUGUGUGUGUGUGUAUAAAAAUACAGGUUCAGUAUUCAAAGAGUUAAUGGUGUAUUGCGGUUUAGUUUUGAAAACUGCUUCAAGUGGCUAUCUCACAAGGACAGAGUAAGCGAUGCGCAGAAUGCACGUGCUAAUGUCCGAAUGGCCUGGUCUGUGCUGGCAACUAGUAGGGAUUGGAAAAAUUGAAGUUCCACAGCUUGACACAGGGAGCAGGCUAGAGAAAUUCUUGCUGCGUCACAGAGCUGUGCCGAUAGGUCUGCAAGAGGCAGCAUUACUGCAUCAGAAGUAUAGGCAGAGACACCGAUAGAUAGAUAGAAAAGGAGAGGAAAGUGCUGGGAAGAAAAGUGUUUACACGAUUGACUCUAGGAAAAGGAUUCCAUAUACUGAUGAAAAGCGCACCUGAAUUUCUCAAUGUGUGGACAUGACAGUGGAAGCCAAGACACAGACCAUGCUAUCCGUCUCCAGGUUUGCCACCAUAUUCUGUGCAGUCUCGCCAUUUGGAGGAAUGAAGAGAAGGGUUGGAUGAGGAUGAAUGACGUUGCCCACUUCAUCAGUGCAAGUUUAAUAUUCAACACCAAUCAUGACGACUCAGAAGCAGUCCAUGACCGUAUGUAUGAGCUGGACCUAUUGGCUGACCUACAAGUGUGAGGCAACAACAUCUCCAACAAGAGAGAACCUAGCCAUCACCCAUUGACUUUCACUGGCAUUAGCAUCACUGAUACUCCCACAGUCAACAUCUUUGGGGUUACCAUUGACCAAAAACUGAACUGAAUCAGCCAUAGAAUUGCUGGGGCUACUAGAGCAGAUUGUCACAAGUGGAACAUUGAAAAAAGGCUGAAAGCAACCAGACAAGGAACACUCUUCAUCUGGAAAUAGCCCAAAUUCAUCUUUAAAUAGGUUUACUUGUGAUUAAACCUUACCAAGUAUUAUCAGAACAAAAGGUAAUGGAGAUUCUGCCCUAGGCAUCAAUGCAAUUGAACUGUAUCAAUGGAUUAUUUUGAUAAGCUAAAAGUAUGUUGCCCGCUAUUAUUCUCAAGAUCCAAGCAGAGUGAGAAACAUAAAUUAUAGUAACUCUUUGUGUUGACAAGGUAAAUUGUUAUGAUAUAGUGAUUUUUUUUAAAAAAGGGAACUGUUUGGGAAAAUCUUAACUAUUUCUCUACUUACAUCUAGUUUUAUGCAGACUUGGACUAUACAUUAUGUUUGUGAUUAACUCUCUUGUUCAGUGCUAGUCUUACUGCAUUUUUAAAUGAAAAACCUGAUGUAUAAUUCCAGAAUGAGAUCUGUAUACACAAAAGGGACUAGAAGGCGAUCAUCUUUUGAAUAAAGCUAGUGGGGUUUUUGCAGGGAUGAUGUGUCAUCUGUAGAAUUCUUUUAUUUGUCUAUAUGUGGUACUACUGUAAAAGUUUAAAAGAAUUUACAGACUGAAACAAAAGUAGUAUAGGAGUUGGGAGCAAAAACCUCUUUUUAAAAAAAAAAGACUUUUUUAAUAUGGCAUCAAAUGUACAGAACUGUAGUUGGUGUACUUUAAAAGGUCUUUGUUUAAAUAGAGCACAAUUACCUAUAUACAUAUUACAUGAUGUAAUGGAAUACCUUCUACAUCUCAAAUUAAAGUAUGAAAAUUUAU